UGGGGAAUUUUACGCAAUGGGCGAAAGCCUGACGUAGCGACACCGCGUGAGCGAAGAAGCCUUUUGGGGUGUAAAGCUCUGUCAGCUGGGACGAAACAAAUGACGGUACCAGCAGAGGAAGCAUCGGCUAACUACGUGCCAGCAGCCGCGGUAAGACGUAGGAUGCAAGCGUUGUCCGGAUUUAUUGGGCGUAAAGAGUUCGUAGGCGGUUUGUUAAGUCUGGUGUUAAAAAUCAGGGCUCAACCCUGGGGCUGCAUUGGAUACUGGCAGACUGGAGUGCGGUAGAGGUAAGUGGAAUUUCUGGUGUAGCGGUGAAAUGCGUAGAUAUCAGAAAGAACACCAGUGGCGUAGGCGACUUACUGGGCCGUAACUGACGCUGAGGAACGAAAGCCAGGGGAGCAAAUGGG
Molecule: ribosomal RNA, 407 nt
Filed under: uncultured bacterium
Lineage: Bacteria
Description: bacterial SSU rRNA
Rfam family: Bacterial small subunit ribosomal RNA
Source: RNAcentral